Molecule: ribosomal RNA, 1440 nt
Filed under: uncultured organism
Description: SSU rRNA
Rfam family: Bacterial small subunit ribosomal RNA
Source: RNAcentral
UUCUACAGGCUUAACACAUGCAAGUCGAGGGGCAUCAGGAAGAAAGCUUGCUUUCUUUGCUGGCGACCGGCGCACGGGUGAGUAACACGUAUCCAACCUGCCCUUUACUCGGGGAUAGCCUUUCGAAAGAAAGAUUAAUACCCGAUGGCAUAAUGAUUCCGCAUGGUUUCAUUAUUAAAGGAUUCCGGUAAAGGAUGGGGAUGCGUUCCAUUAGGUUGUUGGUGAGGUAACGGCUCACCAAGCCUUCGAUGGAUAGGGGUUCUGAGAGGAAGGUCCCCCACAUUGGAACUGAGACACGGUCCAAACUCCUACGGGAGGCAGCAGUGAGGAAUAUUGGUCAAUGGGCGCUAGCCUGAACCAGCCAAGUAGCGUGAAGGAUGAAGGCUCUAUGGGUCGUAAACUUCUUUUAUAUAAGAAUAAAGUGCAGUAUGUAUACUGUUUUGUAUGUAUUAUAUGAAUAAGGAUCGGCUAACUCCGUGCCAGCAGCCGCGGUAAUACGGAGGAUCCGAGCGUUAUCCGGAUUUAUUGGGUUUAGAGGGAGCGUAGGUGGACUGGUAAGUCAGUUGUGAAAGUUUGCGGCUCAACCGUAAAAUUGCAGUUGAUACUGUCAGUCUUGAGUACAGUAGAGGUGGGCGGAGUUCGUGGUGUAGCGGUGAAAUGCUUAGAUAUCACGAAGAACUCCGAUUGCGAAGGCAGCUCACUGGACUGCAACUGACACUGAUGCUCGAAAGUGUGGGUAUCAAACAGGAUUAGAUACCCUGGUAGUCCACACAGUAAACGAUGAAUACUCGCUGUUUGCGAUAUACAGUAAGCGGCCAAGCGAAAGCAUUAAGUAUUCCACCUGGGGAGUACGCCGGCAACGGUGAAACUCAAAGGAAUUGACGGGGGCCCGCACAAGCGGAGGAACAUGUGGUUUAAUUCGAUGAUACGCGAGGAACCUUACCCGGGCUUAAAUUGCAGUGGAAUGAUGUGGAAACAUGUCAGUGAGCAAUCACCGCUGUGAAGGUGCUGCAUGGUUGUCGUCAGCUCGUGCCGUGAGGUGUCGGCUUAAGUGCCAUAACGAGCGCAACCCUUAUCUUUAGUUACUAACAGGUUAUGCUGAGGACUCUAGAGAGACUGCCGUCGUAAGAUGUGAGGAAGGUGGGGAUGACGUCAAAUCAGCACGGCCCUUACGUCCGGGGCUACACACGUGUUACAAUGGGGGGUACAGAAGGCAGCUAGCGGGUGACCGUAUGCUAAUCCCAAAAGCCUCUCUCAGUUCGGAUCGAAGUCUGCAACCCGACUUCGUGAAGCUGGAUUCGCUAGUAAUCGCGCAUCAGCCACGGCGCGGUGAAUACGUUCCCGGGCCUUGUACACACCGCCCGUCAAGCCAUGGGAGCCGGGGGUACCUGAAGUACGUAACCGCAAGGAUCGUCCUAGGGUAAAACUGGUGACUGGGGC